Molecule: ribosomal RNA, 270 nt
Filed under: uncultured bacterium
Lineage: Bacteria
Description: partial 16S ribosomal RNA
Rfam family: Bacterial small subunit ribosomal RNA
Source: RNAcentral
CCAUCCUACGGGGGGCAGCAGUGGGGAAUAUUGCACAAUGGGCGAAAGCCUGAUGCAGCAACGCCGCGUGAAGGAAGAAGGGUUUCGGCUCGUAAACUUCUAUCAACAGGGACGAAAGAAAUGACGGUACCUGAAUAAGAAGCCCCGGCUAACUACGUGCCAGCAGCCGCGGUAAUACGUAGGGGGCAAGCGUUAUCCGGAUUUACUGGGUGUAAAGGGAGCGCAGGCGGCGCGUUAAGCCUGGUGUGAAAGCCCGCGGCCCAACCGCGG